UAAUACCGAAUAUGCUCUACGGAGUAAAGGNGCCCUCUCCUUGGAAGGUAUCGCUAAAGGAUGAGCCCGCGUUAGAUUAGCUAGUUGGUAGGGUAAAGGCCUACCAAGGCGACGAUCUAUAGCUGGUUUGAGAGGAUGAUCAGCCACACUGGGACUGAGACACGGCUCAGACUCCUACGGGAGGCAGCAGUGGGGAAUAUUGCACAAUGAGGGAAACCUUGAUGCAGCCAUGCCGCGUGUGUGAAGAAGGCCCGAGGGUUGUAAAGCACUUUCAACUGUGAGGAAGAUUAAGUAGCUAAUACCUGCUUAGUUUGACGUUAACU
This 323-nucleotide ribosomal RNA is filed under the name uncultured bacterium. RNAcentral's name for it is "bacterial SSU rRNA". It matches the Rfam family "Bacterial small subunit ribosomal RNA", at positions 164 to 480 of the family's 1533-position model. The record is from RNAcentral.